Sceloporus undulatus (fence lizard) is the source of this 472-nucleotide long non-coding RNA. RefSeq lists it as uncharacterized. NCBI's taxonomy places the organism in Eukaryota, Metazoa, Chordata, Lepidosauria, Squamata, Phrynosomatidae. The transcript has 4 exons. The record is from RefSeq and is a predicted model, not a curated record.
CAGUAUCCAUUGCCAGCCGGAUUUCAUGGGUGUUCAUGCUGCCAGAUCCAUCCACAUCAUAAAUCAUGAAUAUAUGCUUUGAAGAAUACAGGAGAGAUCAACCACAUGAAGCUUCUUCCGGAGCGCAGGGUCCAAAGAUGACCACAGUGGUGACCUGAAGCCAGAAGAAAAACAAAAGCCAAAACCAAGAGACAUGGAAAUGAACUGCUAAGAGUUUUCAUAGGCAAAGCUGGUGCAAUGAAGACACUAUGAGGCACUAUGUACACUGGCAGGAUUUAUGUGCCUCAGCAAUCAAAUUUGCAGACUACACCUGCACUUAUCCUCUAAUGAGACAUUGCAAAAGAAAUACGCUAAAUGCAUGAUGUACAAGCUCACCUUUGGCCUCUUCCAUAUCACCUGCUGAAUAUUCACAGAGCCGGGUCCUAGCUCACGGUAUCCAAGUGACUCUGCACAGGGUUUGAACUCGGGGUCG